AUACGUAGGUGACAAGCGUUAUCCGGAUUUACUGGGCGUAAAGGGCGUGUAGGCGGUCUUGCAAGUCAGAAGUGAAAUUCCUGAGCUCAACUCGGGCGCUGCUUCUGAAACUGCAGGACUUGAGUGCUGGAGGGGAUAGCGGAAUUCCUAGUGGAGCGGUAAAAUGCGCAGAUAUUAGGAAGAACACCGGUGGCGAAGGCGGCUAUCUGGACAGUAACUGACGCUGAGGCGCGAAAGCGUGGGGAGAAAACAGGAUUAGAUACCCGGGUAGUCCACGCCGUAAACGAUGAAUACUAGGUGUAGGGGGUAUCGACUCCCUCUGUGCCGCAGUUAACACAAUAAGCAUUCCGCCUGGGGAGUACGGCCGCAAGGUUGAAACUCAAAUGAAUUGACGGGG
Molecule: ribosomal RNA, 397 nt
Filed under: uncultured bacterium
Lineage: Bacteria
Description: partial 16S ribosomal RNA
Rfam family: Bacterial small subunit ribosomal RNA
Source: RNAcentral